UUUUUUUUUUAUUUUUUUUUAUUUUUUUUUUUUUAGAAAUCACAAGAAAAUCCAAAAUGCAAAUCAUUAAAAUCCACACAAAUGCAAAGUGCUAGAUAUGUCAAAUGCAAAUCAUCCAAAUAAAACCAAGCAAAAUGAUCAGUUUUUAUAGUACCUCCACCACACCCGAAUCACACAGUCUCUUGUGUGACUUUGAAUUUGGAGUGGUUUACAUGAUAAGUAAAAUAAAAAUUACUAGAGAUGUGGAGAGAUUUUAAACCGGAUUAGAGUAGUUACCUUGUGACUGCAGGGACAUGAGCAUGUCACUAUGGAUAUGUCGCUACGGUCCUUAGCCAAAUAUUGCAUUCUCCUCGUUUCGUCGUAGCAACAUGAGUAUGUCGCUAUGCACGUCGCUAAGGUUGUCCGUAAAGGGUUAUAGCGACAUGUGUGGGUCGCUAUGAGCAUGUCUCCACAGCACUUGUGUUUCUUUCC
This 471-nucleotide long non-coding RNA is filed under the name Brassica napus (rape). RNAcentral describes it as "long non-coding RNA (BNAP_LNC024694)". Lineage: Eukaryota; Viridiplantae; Streptophyta; Magnoliopsida; Brassicales; Brassicaceae. The record is from RNAcentral.